GCUGCCGUAGCGCAAUGGUAGCGCGUGAGGCUUCGGUCCUCAAGGUUGCGGGUUCAAAUCCCGUCGGCAGUU
Molecule: transfer RNA, 72 nt
Filed under: Penicilliopsis zonata CBS 506.65
Lineage: Eukaryota; Fungi; Ascomycota; Eurotiomycetes; Eurotiales; Aspergillaceae
Rfam family: tRNA
About the family: Transfer RNA (tRNA) molecules are approximately 80 nucleotides in length. Their secondary structure includes four short double-helical elements and three loops (D, anti-codon, and T loops). Further hydrogen bonds mediate the characteristic L-shaped molecular structure. tRNAs have two regions of fundamental functional importance: the anti-codon, which is responsible for specific mRNA codon recognition, and the 3' end, to which the tRNAs corresponding amino acid is attached (by aminoacyl-tRNA synthetases). tRNAs cope with the degeneracy of the genetic code in two manners: having more than one tRNA (with a specific anti-codon) for a particular amino acid; and 'wobble' base-pairing, i.e. permitting non-standard base-pairing at the 3rd anti-codon position.
Source: Rfam by way of RNAcentral